This 709-nucleotide ribosomal RNA is filed under the name uncultured marine alveolate. RNAcentral describes it as "SSU rRNA". It matches the Rfam family "Eukaryotic small subunit ribosomal RNA", at positions 617 to 1332 of the family's 1831-position model. The record is from RNAcentral.
GGUAAAAAAGCUCGUAGUUGGAUUUCUGUUGAGAGCGACCGGUCCAUACCACGUAUGCGUAUCUGGCUUGCUCUCGGCAUCCUCUCGAUAGACGUUGCUGCGCUUGAUUGCGUGGCGCGGAUCUCGGGACUUUUACUUUGAGGAAAUUAGAGUGUUCACGGCAGGCUUUCGCCAGAAUACAUUAGCAUGGAAUAAUACUAUAGGAUCUUGGUUCUAUUUUGUUGGUUUCUAGAAUUGAGAUAAUGAUUAAUAGGGACAAUUGGGGGCAUUCGUAUCAACACGUCAGAGGUGGAAUUCUUGGAUUGUGUUGCGACAAACUACUGCGAAAGCAUUUGCCAAGGAUGUUUUCAUUGAUCAAGAACGAAAGUAAGGGGAUCGAAGACGAUUAGAUACCGUCGUAGUCUUUACCAUAAACUAUGCCGACUAGAGAUGGGGCAUCGUUCAUUUACGACUUGCUCCGCACCUUAUGAGAUAUCAAAGUUUUUGGGUUCCGGGGGGAGUAUGGUCGCAAGACUGAAACUUAAAGGAAUUGACGGAAGGGCACCACCAGGAGUGGAGCCUGCGGCUUAAUUUGACUCAACACGGGGAAACUCACCAGGUCCAGACAUAAUAAGGAUUGACAGAUUGAUAGCUCUUUCUUGAUUUUAUGGGUGGUGGUGCAUGGCCGUUCUUAGUUCGUGGAGUGAUUUGUCUGCUUAAUUGCGUUAAC